AACGCUGAAGCACCAGCUUGCUGGUGUGGAUGAGUGGCGAACGGGUGAGUAAUACGUGAGUAACCUGCCCUUGACUCUGGGAUAAGCCCGGGAAACUGGGUCUAAUACUGGAUGCUACAUGUCACCGCAUGGUGGUGUGUGGAAAGGGUUUACUGGUCUUGGAUGGGCUCACGGCCUAUCAGCUUGUUGGUGAGGUAAUGGCUCACCAAGGCGACGACGGGUAGCCGGCCUGAGAGGGUGACCGGCCACACUGGGACUGAGACACGGCCCAGACUCCUACGGGAGGCAGCAGUGGGGAAUAUUGCACAAUGGGCGAAAGCCUGAUGCAGCGACGCCGCGUGAGGGAUGACGGCCUUCGGGUUGUAAACCUCUUUCAGCAGGGAAGAAGCCACAAGUGACGGUACCUGCAGAAGAAGCGCCGGCUAACUACGUGCCAGCACGGGCGGUAAUAA
This 452-nucleotide ribosomal RNA is filed under the name Kocuria palustris. Its description in RNAcentral is "bacterial SSU rRNA". It matches the Rfam family "Bacterial small subunit ribosomal RNA", at positions 65 to 526 of the family's 1533-position model. Lineage: Bacteria; Bacillati; Actinomycetota; Actinomycetes; Micrococcales; Micrococcaceae. The record is from RNAcentral.